UAACCUUGGGAAACUGAGAAUAAUGCCCGACAGAACAUUAUACCUGGAACGGUUUAUGUUUCAAAUGAUUUAUCGCCGUAGGAUGGGACUGCGGCCUAUCAGUUUGUUGGUGAGGUAAUGGCCCACCAAGACUAUUGCAGGUACGGGCUCUGAGAGGAGUAGCCCGGAGAUGGGUACUGAGACACGGACCCAGGCCCUAUGGGGCGCAGCAGGCGAGAAAACUUUGCAAUGUGCGAAAGCACGACAAGGUUAAUCCGAGUGGUUUCUGCUAAAGAAACCUUUUGCUAGUCCUAGAAACACUAGUGAAUAAGGGGUGGGCAAGCUCUGGUGUCAGCCGCCGCGGUAAAACCAGCACCUCAAGUGGUCAGGAUGAUUAUUGGGCCUAAAGCAUCCGUAGCUCGUUUUGUAAGUUUUCGGUUAAAUCCAUACGCUCAACGUAUGGGCUGCCGGGAAUACUGCAUAACUAGGAAGUGGGAGAGGUAGACGGUACUCGGUAGGAAGGGGUAAAAUCCUUUGAUCUAUUGAUGACCACCUGUGGCGAAGGCGGUCUACCAGAACACGUUCGACGGUGAGGGAUGAAAGCUGGGGGAGCAAACCGGAUUAGAUACCCGGGUAGUCCCAGCUGUAAACUAUGCAAACUCAGUGAUGCAUUGGCUUGUGGCCAAUGCAGUGCUGCAGGGAAGCCGUUAAGUUUGCCGCCUGGGAAGUACGUACGCAAGUAUGAAACUUAAAGGAAUUGGCGGGGGAGCACCACAAGGGGUGAAGCCUGCGGUUC
This 775-nucleotide ribosomal RNA is filed under the name uncultured archaeon. RNAcentral's name for it is "bacterial SSU rRNA". It matches the Rfam family "Archaeal small subunit ribosomal RNA", at positions 127 to 903 of the family's 1478-position model. The record is from RNAcentral.